UACGUAGGCAGCGAGCGUUGUUCGGAAUUACUGGGCGUAAAGAGUGUGUAGGCGGUGCUCCCAGUCUGUUGUGAAAUCUCCCGGCUUAACUGGGAGGGUGCAGCGGAAACUAGAGUGCUAGAGGGUGGGAGAGGUAAGCGGAAUUCCUGGUGUAGCGGUGAAAUGCGUAAAUAUCAGGAGGAACACCUGUGGUGUAGAUAGCUUACUGGACCACUUCUGACGCUGAGACACGAAAGCGUGGGUAGCAAACAGG
Molecule: ribosomal RNA, 253 nt
Filed under: uncultured bacterium
Lineage: Bacteria
Description: partial 16S ribosomal RNA
Rfam family: Bacterial small subunit ribosomal RNA
Source: RNAcentral